RNAcentral lists this ribosomal RNA (500 nucleotides) under uncultured bacterium. RNAcentral's name for it is "partial 16S ribosomal RNA". It matches the Rfam family "Bacterial small subunit ribosomal RNA", at positions 30 to 523 of the family's 1533-position model. The record is from RNAcentral.
AUUGAACGCUGGCGGAAUGCUUUACACAUGCAAGUCGAACGGCAGCACGGACUUCGGUCUGGUGGCGAGUGGCGAACGGGUGAGUAAUACAUCGGAACGUGCCCAAUCGUGGGGGAUAACGUAGCGAAAGCUACGCUAAUACCGCAUACGAUCUAAGGAUGAAAGCGGGGGAUCGCAAGACCUCGCGCGAUUGGAGCGGCCGGUGGCAGAUUAGGGAGUUGGUAGGGUAAAGGCCUACCAAGCCGACGAUCUGUAGCUGGUCUGAGAGGAUGAUCAGCCACACUGGGACUGAGACACGGCCCAGACUCCUACGGGAGGCAGCAGUGGGGAAUUUUGGACAAUGGACGCAAGUCUGAUCCAGCCAUUCCGCGUGCAGGAUGAAGGCCCUCGGGUUGUAAACUGCUUUUGUACAGAACGAAAAGGUUUCUACUAAUACUAGGAGCUCAUGACGGUACUGUAAGAAUAAGCACCGGCUAACUACGUGCCAGCCGCCGCCGUAA